UUGAGGGGGGGCUGCUCCUAGUACGAGAGGACCGGAGUGGACGCAUCACUGGUGUUCGGGUUGUCAUGCCAAUGGCACUGCCCGGUAGCUAAAUGCGGAAGAGAUAAGUGCUGAAAGCAUCUAAGCACGAAACUUGCCCCGAGAUGAGUUCUCCCUGAGACUUUAAGUCUCCUGAAGGAACGUUGAAGACGACGACGUUGAUAGGCCGGGUGUGUAAGCGCAGCGAUGCGUUGAGCUAACCGGUACUAAUGAACCGUGAGGCUUAACCUUACAACGCCGAAG
Molecule: ribosomal RNA, 282 nt
Filed under: Klebsiella pneumoniae
Lineage: Bacteria; Pseudomonadati; Pseudomonadota; Gammaproteobacteria; Enterobacterales; Enterobacteriaceae
Description: partial 23S ribosomal RNA
Rfam family: Bacterial large subunit ribosomal RNA
Source: RNAcentral